Molecule: transfer RNA, 85 nt
Filed under: Streptomyces spiralis
Lineage: Bacteria; Bacillati; Actinomycetota; Actinomycetes; Kitasatosporales; Streptomycetaceae
Description: tRNA-Thr
Source: RNAcentral
CCGCGCUGGGCGCCCUGGUGAAGGUGUGGCCGGCGCUGGUGCUGCUGGGCACGCCCCGGGGCCGUACGACCCGCUCGGCGUGGAC